Macadamia integrifolia is the source of this 5754-nucleotide RNA transcript. It is a transcript of the gene named transcription factor PCL1-like, with no coding region annotated. The transcript is spliced from 4 exons. NCBI's taxonomy places the organism in Eukaryota, Viridiplantae, Streptophyta, Magnoliopsida, Proteales, Proteaceae. The record is from RefSeq and is a predicted model, not a curated record.
CAAGCCUUUUAACGAAUCUGACGAUGCAUCUCCAAAAUAUCUGCCCCGUCACUACUGUUUCUUUUGAGCCUUAACCCCAACUUCUCUUUUCUCAUCCCAGACUUGGGAGAAACGAAGAACUAAGGACCCUUUCUCUUCCUCUCUGUCUCGUUAUUCUUCUGUUUUGAUCUCCGACCAACCGGAUCGGAAUACCUAAUAACAUACAUAUCUCUGUUUCUCUGAGUCUUCAAUCCUCAAUUGAUGGGUUCCUGAUGAGGUUUCGCAAUUUCAAAUCCUUGGUCGCUGAAACCCUAAUUCGUGGUCGAAGUGUAAGUUAAAAGUCGAAGUUUGAGUUGAUCCUUCUUGACUCAUAAGAGUUGAGAUUGGCUCCUCGUUCUGCUACUUUUAACUUAAUUCAAUUAUUAAAACUGAAAAUUGAGAAAGAAAGGACGGCAGGAGUUAUGGGGGAUGAAUUGCAGAUGAACGACUACGAAGGAGGCCUUGGAGGUGAAGAUGAAGAUGAAGACCAAAUCCAGGAAUGGAAGGCCGGAUUACCCAGCGCAGAUGAUCUCACACCCUUAUCUCAGUCUUUGAUACCUCCGGAGCUCGCCUUGGCGUUUAAUAUAUCACCAGAGCCCUGUCCAAGCAUGCUUGAUGUGAAUCACGCCUCCCAGAGUACUCUAUCGAAUCUCUGUGGCCAGUCGUCUCAGUCUUUCUCCUCCGGCCACCUCAGGUGCUUACCUUCCUUUGCGGAUGACCCAAGUCGUCAUCAGGACCCCAUGGUUGUUGAAGGUGACGAAAAUGGACCCAAUAGUACAACUCAAGACGGCUCCGAUGCUCUAAAAGUAAGGAGAGUCGACAUCGCUGAAGAGGCAGGUUCGGAUUUGCCAAACGAUAAUUCUAACAAUAAUAAUGAAGAUCAACCUGCUGCUCCGACCUUUAAAAGGCCCCGAUUAGUGUGGACUCCGCAGCUUCACAAGCGAUUCGUCGAUGUUGUCUCGCAUCUGGGUAUCAAGAACGCCGUGCCUAAGACCAUCAUGCAACUGAUGAACGUGGAGGGUCUAACGCGAGAGAACGUCGCCAGCCACCUCCAGAAGUAUCGCUUGUACCUGAAGAGGACGCAAGAUGGCUUGUCCAACGGGCGCCCCUCUUCUUCGGAUCAUCUCUUCGCAUCAACCCCUGUGCCUCUUCAGAUGUCAUACCCUGCACCUUUGCUGCCAAUGCCGGUGCUUAAUGUUCCACACCGCCACGGUCAUGGCCAUAUGGGGAUGCCCGUCGGUAAUCCACCUACACCUCCUCCUACCUAUCAUGGCUUGGAGUCACAUCCCAAUAACAUGUUUCAUGAGCAGCAGCAGCAGCAGCCAGAUUGGUCGGGUAACAAGUUCGGAUCGUUUAUGCCUUAUCCUCACGUAAACCCUAAUGAUAAAUAAAAAUCACUGCUGAGUUUCUCGGUAAUCUUCUUCACUACUACUACUACUACUACUAUUAUUCUUAUCAUUCUUUGUAAUCGAUGGGAUGAUCAUUCAAUAUUUCAGUGCAGUCUCGAUAGUGGGCGGUAAGAAUCAUAUCAUACGGUUCUACGGUCCUACAUGUUUCAAACUAAAAUCUGAAUCAAAACUAUAACCACUCUUUUCAAAUCUCAAUUUGGAUGUUGACGUUUCUUUCUGGAUUAAGGUUUUGGAUUCUCAUGUGGCAGAGGCAAAACUUUAACGAAGACUAAAACGUUAACCAGAGUACAGGAGAUUCUUCGCUCACCCAAAAUGUGUACCUCGGACAUGGCACCUGCAGAGGUAGCCAAAAGUUGUUCUUCGGGUGUACAGGAAUGUGGAGUUAAGUACUCGGAAGCUAGAAUGGUGGCUGUGAAGAACUGCUUUCUGACCUUGGAAGUGCCAGUAAGAAUUACAUGUCACCUGAAACCAGUUUCGGCGGAUCGAAGAUUUAAUGGGUUGCCUAUAUAUUAAUGGAGAUCAUCUGCUAACAUUGAUUACAUCUAUUUGCUCUGCUAAUGGAAGUCUGAAACAAUCUGAUACAGAAAUUCUCAACUUAUUUAAAACUGCUUCUGCUGCCCUGUUAAUUAUGAUCUGCAAAGUGGGUUUCACUUUAGGUUUAUCUUACAUCUGAAAAUAAGAUGAACUAACACUAAUUCGGAUUUUUCUUUUGCUGAUGUAGCAGGAUGAAACUUCAGUCCCUGCAAUCCAAAGCCAGGUCUCUUUGUUCAUCUUCUUGUCUGUUUGCGAGGAAGGGGAAACCUUUUCUCUGGGAAUUUCAGAUGAAAUGAGACACAGAUCAGCAUCUUUUUCGGUCUAUUAAUAUGUACUAUUGAGGACAUUUGAGGGGCGGUUGGCUGGAAUGGUUUUGGCGUUUGGCCUUUCUCGACUCUUCAAGCUCGUCAGGCUCUGCAGGCCUCAGGGUCUUCAGGCUAGCUGACUCAUAAUCCCACUGCAAAUCUAGUGGUGCCUGAUGAGUUCAACCAAAUGAUUUUGGUAUUUAAAUAUGGCUUCCUUGCCUUCUUUACGUACCUCCUUCGGGGAUGGGAACACCAAAUUGGAUGAGCAACCAUACAAUUCGUCCCCUAAUUUAUAGUCGUCUUUAACCCAAAAUUCUGUAUUGUUAGGUUUUUUUUAUUCGUCUUCUAAGCACAGACGCACGCAGUGAAGCGAGAGAGGGAGAAGGGAGGAGGUGGGGCGCGGGAGAUCGUAGGUGUAGUUAAAUUUUUGAACGGAUCCUUUGUCUUCAUGGGAUUUCGUGAUGAUUUUGAGAAGCCCUAGGCCAGUGUGGCUUGUUAGAUCAUCUGGGCUGAAACCCUUGAUUUUUCAUUCCAGAGAAACUCGAGGCCAUUGAUCUUGUAGCUCAUCCUGCACAGUGGACACCAAGAAUGGUCUUCGCUUUGGCUGAACUUUCAUUGCCAGGGAAAUUCUCUGAAUUCGGAUACUUAUACCAUAAGAAGGGGAAAAAAAAAAAAAUCCCAAUUUGGAAUAAAGAUACAGCAGCAGCAGCAAGAACAGCAUCUUUCCUGUAACUUUGCAACAUCCGCUCAGUUGGUUUGUCCACUCGGCCUCUAACCGGUCCACCCGGCUAUAGAUAGGGUUUUGGGGAUUACCAUAUUAGGUUUCGUUGUCUUUCAAAUGUUCGUGAAGCUCAGAAGGGAAGCCGUUUCUUGUGCUCUGCAUCUUCAACUACACUCUUAAGCUGCUGAGCGUUUCGUUGGCUCAGCAGAAAGUUUAAAUCUUUGCUCGUUAGUAAGCAUCAUCCCAAGCUGAUGGUCUCGGAGGUAAUUUAAUUUCUGUAGUAGUUCUGUCUCCUCUAGAACCAGAAAUAUCUAUUUUUUUCCUUUUGGUUGAUCUAAUUUAUAUGUGGAAGCCAUCUCUGUUGGCGGUCGUCAAUAGGUCCCUCCGUGUGACGUUACGUUGCUCAUUUUAACCAUGAUGGCACUGGUGGCGCUUUUCGUAAUCGAAGCUCACUGGUAAACGUGGCAAACGAUGACGUCUAUCCCUCUUGGACCGAUAAAGAUGCUGAACGACGGACCGCGUUUUCUACCCAGGAGAUCGGAGGAUUUGGUGUCCCUGAGGGUAGGGUUUGGGUUUCUCGUUCAUCAUCACAGCCAGCUGAUGGAGGAACCCUUCGAAGAAGUUUCAAAAACAAAACAACCCUAGAACUGAGGACCAUCCACCAUUGUGUUACCUUUUCCAAGCUUCUUGUGAAAACUUCAAAACUUUACUGCUCAUGCGGAACCAGAAGAUGGUGCUAACGCUUCUAGUUCUCAUCCAGCCUCAUAUAACAGCUUGUUGAAGUUCUUCAGUUGGGUCGGCGAGGUGGUUGAAGUUGUUACUCUUCCCUCUGAUGAAAGGAGGUCUGUAUCCCAUUCUCUGUUACAACACUCUGCUUAAUGGCCUUGCGGCUGCGAAACACUUUCAUGUGCUUUGUGCGGUAAUGGAGGAGAUGUACUCUUCUGGUGUAAUUCCCAAAAUCUCCCUCUUCAACAUUUUGGUCAAGGCAUAUUCCUGUUAUUCCCUCUAGUUCAAUUUGGCUUUCUGUGUCCUGGAUGAGAUGUCCUCUGUGGGUUGUAAUCUAGAUGUGAUAACUUACCCGACCUGGAUUACUGAUCUUUCUAGGGCAGGAAGAGUUGCGGAAGAAUUACUGAUCUUCAGAAUUCUCUAGUUCACGACAUCUGGAUUGAUGCAUUUUGCAAAAGUAGGCGUUUUGUUGAGGUUGAGUUGAUCUUUAAGGAAGGCACAUGAAAGGGUUGGAAGCCUAGCACUAUCAGUUGUAAUACCUACAUUAAUGCACUUUGUCAAGUGGGCAAGGCUGACAAAACUUACAGAGCAUUAGAAAUUAUGAUGUGCAAUGGAUUAUAUCCCACUGUUGUGACCGUGAAUUUACUUCUUGAUUCCCUUUGCUUUGCUUCAAAUAUUUUGAGGCAAAUAAAGUUUUGAACCUGAGUUUCCACUUUAGUUGGGAAGUCAGUUUGGUAAGUUACAACAUUGUGAUGAAUACAUCAUGUAAGAUCGGUCAGUGGCGGAGUGUUAUGAUGCUAUUAGUUGGCACGUUGGAGAAGGCAGUUGUCUGAAUACUAGGACUUAUAGUAUUGCUGUUCAUAGCCUUUGUGAAGCUAAAAAGCUGAGGGAAGCUGAAUAUUUGGUUAAAUGCAAAGGGUUUAAUGCUGAUGUUGUGGCAUGUAAUAUGUUAUUGAAUGGGUAUUGCAAGACAUGAAGUAUAUCUGAAGUAAAUAAUUUGUCAUAGAAUGACAAUCAUGGAAAAGAUUGAUCCUGGUAUUUUCACGUACACUAUUCUGAUUGAGAUUCACUGUAAAAAGGGAGAAAAAUAAGGAUGCUAUGGACAUUUUUGGUUAGGCUCAUAGCUCAUCUUAAGGGUUUCAUGCCAGAUCUUGUUGCAUGCUCCACUUAAAGAAUGGUCUGCUCAAUAAGGAGCUGCGCUGCUGGAUAGAAUGCUAGAGCUGGGACUAUUUCCUGACAUUGCUCUUCAGGAAUCAUUUGUCAGGGCAUGUUGUGAGAAACAACCGUCGCAUGUUUGGAUUUUCUAUUGAGAAACUACUUUGAUGUAGAUAGGUGCAUCUCAAUUGUUGAAGACCUGGAAGGAAGGCUUCUUAUAACUCCUAGCAUUAGUACAGAAUAGAUAAUUUAAUUCAUCGCUUUGUUGUAACAUAGGAUAGUUAGGUCUUGUCUUCCCUUUUAAUUUACAAAACUCACAACUUUGACUCUGGAAUUGUUCCUUUUUUGGCAGGUAAUCUGUUAAUGUGCUUGGUUGACAUCAUUUCAUAGCAGAAAUUGUAUGAACUUAUCUGACAAAGUUGCUGGUUGGAAGAAGAGGAUCUGCAUCUCCAAUUCGUUUCGGUGGUGGCUUUCUCCAUUUAUGAUAAGGUCAUGGCUUCCUACCCACAGUCUCAUUGGUUGGGAUGCCUUGGAUAACAUUCAAUCGAAUAAGAAAUCUUUACCUAGAUGACAGUCCCAUUUGUUUCCCUGGGAAGUCAUUUUUUACCGUCAUUCUGUUCACUAAAAGUAGAAUUCGGUGGAUAUCCUUUAUCUGUUUAAUUUUUAUUUUAUUUUAUUUGUUGUAUUUUAAUAUUUAAUUGCUUUUGCUUUUACGUUAGUGGCCUAUGCUUUUAGCCAUAUUGCUUAGUUCGCAACAAUCUUGGUGAGUUUCACUUUGGGGUUUGCCCUACUGUCUGACAAGGUUUAUUCAAUUAAAAAGUAAUGUGUAUACAAUUGUGAAAUUAUAUACUAAUGGUUUGAUCGCUACCUUUACCAGAGAGAAAAA